UUUCCGUAGGUGAACCUGCGGAAGGAUCAUUAUUGAAUAAACUUGAUGUGAGUUGUCGCUGGCUCUCUAGGGAGCAUGUGCACGCUCCGUCAUCUUUAUAUUUCCACCUGUGCACCUUUUGUAGACCCAGAAGGCUUGAGCAAUCGAGUCGUUUGGGCCUAUGUUUAUCAUAUACCCCAUAGUAUGUAUUAGAAUGUAUCAGUGGGCUUUGUGCCUAUAAACACUAUACAACUUUCAGCAACGGAUCUCUUGGCUCUC
Molecule: unclassified non-coding RNA, 258 nt
Filed under: soil metagenome
Description: partial contains small subunit ribosomal RNA, internal transcribed spacer 1, and 5.8S ribosomal RNA
Source: RNAcentral